AGAGUUUGAUCAUGGCUCAGAACGAACGCUGGCGGCAGGCUUAACACAUGCAAGUCGAACGCGUGUAGCAAUACACGAGUGGCGCACGGGUGAGUAACACGUGGAUAUCUGCCUUUUGGUUCGGAAUAACCCUGGGAAACUAGGGCUAAUACCGGAUGGUUCCUACGGGAUAAAGAUUUAUCGCCAAAAGAUGAGUCCGCGUCCGAUUAGCUAGUUGGUGAGGUAAUGGCUCACCAAGGCGACGAUCGGUAGCUGGUCUGAGAGGACGAUCAGCCACACUGGGACUGAGACACGGCCCAGACUCCUACGGGAGGCAGCAGUGGGGAAUAUUGGACAAUGGGGGCAACCCUGAUCCAGCCAUGCCGCGUGAGUGAUGAAGGCCUUCGGGUUGUAAAGCUCUUUUGGCGGGGACGAUGAUGACGGUACCCGCAGAAUAAGCCCCGGCUAACUUCGUGCCAGCAGCCGCGGUAAGACGAAGGGGGCUAGCGUUGUUCGGAAUUACUGGGCGUAAAGCGCGUGUAGGCGGUUGUCCAAGUUGGAUGUGAAAGCCUUGAGCUUAACUCAAGAAAUGCAUUCAGGACUGGAUGACUAGAGGACCGGAGAGGAUAGUGGAAUUCCCAGUGUAGUGGUGAAAUACGUAGAGAUUGGGAAGAACACCAGUGGCGAAGGCGGCUAUCUGGACGGUUUCUGACGCUAAGACGCGAAAGCGUGGGGAGCAAACAGGAUUAGAUACCCUAGUAGUCC
This 744-nucleotide ribosomal RNA is filed under the name uncultured bacterium. RNAcentral describes it as "bacterial SSU rRNA". It matches the Rfam family "Bacterial small subunit ribosomal RNA", at positions 8 to 796 of the family's 1533-position model. The record is from RNAcentral.